GAAGAAGAAGAAAAAGAAGAACAAGUCCGCCGAAGACAUCGUUUCCGAUGAGCCUUUAACCGGUGACGCCGCCCUUGCCGCUACUGAGCAACAAGCUGACGCUCCCGAGGAUAUGUUUACGAUUGACGCAGCUAAGCGCAGGAAAUACGAUGAUUUGUUCCCUGUUGAAGCAAAGAAAUUCGGGUACGACCCGAAUGCUAAAGCCAAGUCCGUUGAAGAAGCCCUUGAUGACCGGGUCAAAAAGAAAGCAGACCGUUACUGUAAAUGAAUUCCUAAGCUUUUUUAGGUACUGUCUGUUAAUCCUUGUAAUUUCUAUAUGAUUUCUCAGUUUGCUGUGAUCUCGGGCUUACUUAUAACUUGACAUUAGUGUUUUUAGCCCCAGUUUUAUUGUCUGUAUCAACAGAAUCGUGUUUCGGAGAGUAGUUAAUCUUUGAUUACAGACACUUUGAGUAUUGUUGCUUUUGUUGAUGUGCUA
This 475-nucleotide unclassified non-coding RNA is filed under the name Hevea brasiliensis (rubber tree). Lineage: Eukaryota; Viridiplantae; Streptophyta; Magnoliopsida; Malpighiales; Euphorbiaceae. The record is from RNAcentral.